CUAAAACUAGGCAAUGCAUCAUAAGAAGCUGCAACGAGAUUCCCAUUAAACUUUAAACUCCCAUCUCGAACAAAUUUAUCCCCCGUUGAAGCUGAAACAGAAUAAGGAGCUGAAAUGACAGUAUUAGCUGAUACCCCAACCUUUUUACCUCCUCCAUCACUUUUCUUUGAACUAGUUGAACCAGCCGUUUUCGACUGCUUCUUCUUACCAAAUAUCUGCUUGAUCAUAUUUCUCUUUAACCACCCACUUUAUACAAACAACUAAAUAUUCAACAGUAAGAACAAGUAAAACUUAAUAAAGUCAUCAAACUAAAAUCAAG
Molecule: unclassified non-coding RNA, 319 nt
Filed under: Hevea brasiliensis (rubber tree)
Lineage: Eukaryota; Viridiplantae; Streptophyta; Magnoliopsida; Malpighiales; Euphorbiaceae
Source: RNAcentral